Molecule: ribosomal RNA, 1086 nt
Filed under: Anaphothrips obscurus
Lineage: Eukaryota; Metazoa; Arthropoda; Insecta; Thysanoptera; Thripidae
Description: 16S ribosomal RNA
Source: RNAcentral
UGAAAUAAUUUUUAAAAUAAAAAAAAUAUUUUAGUACUUAAAAGGAAAAAUAAAUGAAAAAAAAGAAAUUUUUAAUUUUUGUUCCUUGUGUAUCAUGAUUCUUAAAUUUAUAAAAAUAUUUUUAAUUCUCGAAAAAUUAGGAUCUAACUUAAAAUGUGAUUUUUGUUUUAACAAAAUAAAAUAAUUUGAGUUAGAAAUAAAAAAUUUCCAACUUAUUGUAUAUCUAGUUUUUUUAGAAAGAAAUAAAAUUUCUUUAAUAGUUUUAAUUAAUCUAUUAAAAAAUUUUUUAAGGGACUAGCUUUAAAAAAGAAUAUAAAUUUGGGUUUUUUUAUAUUAAAAAGAAUUAAAUUACCUUAAAAACUUAAAAAUUUUAACUAAUUAAAAAAAAUUUUAUAAUUAGAUAUUUAGUGUUAUAUAAAAAAAAUAUAAAUAAAUUAAUAAAUAAAAAUUUUAAAAAAUAAGUAAUUAAGGAAAUAAAUCAAUAGUAACUCGGCAAAUGUUUUUUUCGAAUGUUUAACAAAAACAUUGUUUCUUGAUUUUAUAAGAAAUAAGACCUGCUCGGUGAAAUUUUAACAGCCAUUUUUUGCUAAGGUAGCAUAAUAAUUUGUCUUUUAAUUUAAGGCUUGAAUGAAUGGUUAAACGAAAAAAAAACUUUCUUUUUUUUUAAAAAAUUAAUUUAACUUUUAAGUUAAAAGGCUUAAAUUUUUUUGGAAGACGAUAAGACCCUAUAGAACUUAAUUAUUUUUUAAUUUUAUUAAAAAAGGAAUAAAUUUUGCUGGGGAAGCAAAGAAAGAAAAAUUUUCUUUUUUUUAAACAAAAUUUUUGAUUAAUUGAUCCUUUUUAAGAAAAAAGAAUAAGUUACCUUAGGGAUAACAGAGUUAAAUUUUUUGAGAGGUCAAAUCGAAAAAAAAUAUUACUACCUCGAUGUUGAAUUAAGGUAAAUUUUAAUAGAAGAUAAUUAAAUAAAAGGUCUGUUCGACCUAGUUUCCUUACAUGAUUUGAGUUAAGACCGGCGUAAGCCAGGUUGGUUUAUAUCUCCAAACUUAAAGUUUUUAUAGUACGAAAGGACCUAAAAACUUAAUUUUA